This 245-nucleotide ribosomal RNA is filed under the name uncultured bacterium. RNAcentral's name for it is "partial small subunit ribosomal RNA". It matches the Rfam family "Bacterial small subunit ribosomal RNA", at positions 26 to 285 of the family's 1533-position model. The record is from RNAcentral.
AGAAUCAACGCUGGCGGCGUGCCUAACACAUGCAAGUCGCACGAGAAAGGGGAGCAAUCCCUGAGUAAAGUGGCGCACGGGUGAGUAACACGUGAAUAAUCUACCUCCGAGUGGGGAAUAACUGAGAGAAAUCUUAGCUAAUACCGCAUAACACUUACGAGUCAAAGCAGCAAUGCGCUUGGAGAGGAGUUCGCGGCCGAUUAGUUAGUUGGCGGGGUAAUGGCCCACCAAGACGACGAUCGGUA